GUGAGGAAUAUUGCGCAAUGGGGGAAACCCUGACGCAGCGACGCCGCGUGGGUGAUGAAGGCCUUCGGGUCGUAAAGCCCUGUCGGGAGGAAAGAAAUGCGUUCAAGCCAACACCUUGGACGUUUGACGGUACCUCCAAAGGAAGCACCGGCUAACUCUGUGCCAGCAGCCGCGGUAAUACAGAGGGUGCAAGCGUUGUUCGGAAUUACUGGGCGUAAAGGGCGUGCAGGCGGCUUGUCAAGUCAGAUGUGAAAGCCCACGGCUCAACCGUGGAAGCGCAUUUGAAACUGGCAGGCUUGAGUACCAGAGGGGAAAGUGGAAUUCCCGGUGUAGAGGUGAAAUUCGUAGAUAUCGGGAGGAAUACCGGUGGCGAAGGCGACUUUCUGGCUGGAUACUGACGCUGAGACGCGAAAGCGCGGGGAGCAAACAGGAUUAGAAACCCGGGUAGUCC
RNAcentral lists this ribosomal RNA (451 nucleotides) under uncultured bacterium. Its description in RNAcentral is "bacterial SSU rRNA". It matches the Rfam family "Bacterial small subunit ribosomal RNA", at positions 354 to 796 of the family's 1533-position model. The record is from RNAcentral.